MicroRNA from Caenorhabditis elegans, 23 nucleotides. The record is from Ensembl. Lineage: Eukaryota; Metazoa; Nematoda; Chromadorea; Rhabditida; Rhabditidae.
GCUAUUUGCAAGGUACCUAAUUG